Molecule: ribosomal RNA, 497 nt
Filed under: uncultured bacterium
Lineage: Bacteria
Description: partial 16S ribosomal RNA
Rfam family: Bacterial small subunit ribosomal RNA
Source: RNAcentral
GAUGAACGCUGGCGGCGUGCCUAAUACAUGCGAGUCGAGCGAACAGACGAGGAGCUUGCUCCUCUGACGUUAGCGGCGGACGGGUGAGUAACACGUGGAUAACCUACCUAUAAGACUGGGAUAACUUCGGGAAACCGGAGCUAAUACCGGAUAAUAUAUUGAACCGCAUGGUUCAAUAGUGAAAGACGGUUUUGCUGUCACUUAUAGAUGGAUCCGCGCCGCAUUAGCUAGUUGGUAAGGUAACGGCUUACCAAGGCAACGAUGCGUAGCCGACCUGAGAGGGUGAUCGGCCACACUGGAACUGAGACACGGUCCAGACUCCUACGGGAAGCAGCAGUAGGGAAUCUUCCGCAAUGGGCGAAAGCCUGACGGAGCAACGCCGCGUGAAUGAUGAAGGUCUUCGGAUCGUAAAACUCUGUUAUUAGGGAAGAACAAAUGUGUAAGUAACUAUGCACGUCUUGACGGUACCUAAUCAGAAAGCCACGGCUAACUACGUG